This 495-nucleotide ribosomal RNA is filed under the name uncultured bacterium. RNAcentral's name for it is "partial 16S ribosomal RNA". It matches the Rfam family "Bacterial small subunit ribosomal RNA", at positions 28 to 507 of the family's 1533-position model. The record is from RNAcentral.
GACGAACGCUGGCGGCGUGCCUAAUACAUGCAAGUAGAACGCUGAAGGAGGAGCUUGCUUCUCUGGAUGAGUUGCGAACGGGUGAGUAACGCGUAGGUAACCUGCCUGGUAGCGGGGGAUAACUAUUGGAAACGAUAGCCAAUACCGCAUAAGAGUAGAUGUCGCAUGACAUUUGCUUAAAAGGUGCAAUUGCAUCACUACCAGAUGGACCUGCGUUGUAUUAGCUAGUUGGUGAGGUAACGGCUCACCAAGGCAACGAUACAUAGCCGACCUGAGAGGGUGAUCGGCCACACUGGGACUGAGACACGGCCCAGACUCCUACGGGAGGCAGCAGUAGGGAAUCUUCGGCAAUGGACGGAAGUCUGACCGAGCAACGCCGCGUGAGUGAAGAAGGUUUUCGGAUCGUAAAGCUCUGUUGUAAGAGAAGAACGAGUGUGAGAGUGGAAAGUUCACACUGUGACGGUAUCUUACCAGAAAGGGACGGCUAACUACGUG